Long non-coding RNA from Orbicella faveolata, 303 nucleotides. The record is from RefSeq and is a predicted model, not a curated record. Lineage: Eukaryota; Metazoa; Cnidaria; Anthozoa; Scleractinia; Merulinidae.
CAAACCAGGCAGGGCUCAAAAUGGCGUCUGGAAGGAAACGUGGGUUGAAACUUCACUCAAUAAUCGAGAAACUUUCUGAACAGUGUGAAAGAAAGAGUCCUUUACGCGAUGACGAAGGUGAAGAUAUUCAUCUGAGUUCAGAACUUUGUAAUGUAAAAAGGUGCAGUAUUUUAAAUGUCAUUAUUUUCCCAGUGUACUGAACCAAAUUUCCUUAAUCAAGUGCUCAGCUUUACUUAAAGUGCCUAUGAAGUAAAAAAUAAUUGCUGAUUAUUUGAAAGGCUUUUCAAAGUAAAGAAGAAUGGC